This 897-nucleotide ribosomal RNA is filed under the name uncultured Gammaproteobacteria bacterium. RNAcentral's name for it is "bacterial SSU rRNA". It matches the Rfam family "Bacterial small subunit ribosomal RNA", at positions 8 to 898 of the family's 1533-position model. The record is from RNAcentral. Lineage: Bacteria; Pseudomonadati; Pseudomonadota; Gammaproteobacteria.
AGGGUUUGAUCAUGGCUCAGAUUGAACGCUGGCGGUAUGCUUAACACAUGCAAGUCGAACGCGAACGGUACUUCGGUACUUAUUAGAGUGGCGGACGGGUGAGUAACGCGUGGGAAUCUACCUAGUAGUUGGGGACAACCUGGUGAAAACCAGGCUAAUACCGAAUACGCCCUACGGGGGAAAGAUAGCCUCUUCUUGAAAGCUUUCGCUAUUAGAUGAGCCCGCGUUGGAUUAGCUAGUUGGUGGGGUAAAGGCCUACCAAGGCGACGAUCCAUAGCUGGUCUGAGAGGAUGAUCAGCCACACUGGAACUGAGACACGGUCCAGACUCCUACGGGAGGCAGCAGUGGGGAAUAUUGGACAAUGGGCGCAAGCCUGAUCCAGCAAUACCGCGUGUAUGAAGAAGGCCCGAGGGUUGUAAAGUACUUUCAAUUGUGAAGAGGGGAUAGUUAGUUAAUAGCAUUCUAUCCUGACGUUAACUUUAGAAGAAGCACCGGCUAAUUCAGUGCCAGCAGCCGCGGUAAUACUGAAGGUGCAAGCGUUAAUCGGAAUUACUGGGCGUAAAGCGCGCGUAGGCUGUUAUUUAAGUCAGAUGUGAAAGCCCCGGGCUCAACCUGGGAACUGCAUUUGAUACUGGGUAACUAGAGUAUGUUAGAGGAAAGUGGAAUUCAGGGUGUAGCGGUGAAAUGCGUAGAUAUCCUGAGGAACACCAAUGGCGAAGGCAACUUUCUGGGACAAUACUGACGCUGAGGUGCGAAAGCGUGGGGAGCAAACGGGAUUAGAUACCCCGGUAGUCCACGCCGUAAACGAUGAGAACUAGUUGUCGGGAGGGUUUACCUUUCGGUGACGCAGCUAACGCAUUAAGUUCUCCGCCUGGGGAGUACGCCGGCAACGGUAAA